AGUGAACGCUGGCGGUAGGCCUAACACAUGCAAGUCGAACGGCAGCACAGUAAGAGCUUGCUCUUACGGGUGGCGAGUGGCGGACGGGUGAGGAAUACAUCGGAAUCUACUUUUUCGUGGGGGAUAACGUAGGGAAACUUACGCAAAUACCGCAUACGACCUACGGGUGAAAGCAGGGGAUCUUCGGACCUUGCGGGAUUGAAUGAGCCGAUGUCGGAUUAGUUAGUUGGCGGGGGAAAGGCCCCCCAAGGCGACGAUCCGUAGCUGGUCUGAGAGGAUGAUCAGCCACACUGGAACUGAGACACGGUCCAGACUCCUACGGGAGGCAGCAGUGGGGAAUAUUGGACAAUGGGCGCAAGCCUGAUCCAGCCAUACCGCGUGGGUGAAGAAGGCCUUCGGGUUGUAAAGCCCUUUUGUUGGGAAAGAAAAGCAGCAGGUUAAUACCCCGCUGUUCUGACGGUACCCAAAGAAUAAGCACCGGCUAACUUCGUG
RNAcentral lists this ribosomal RNA (492 nucleotides) under uncultured bacterium. RNAcentral's name for it is "partial 16S ribosomal RNA". It matches the Rfam family "Bacterial small subunit ribosomal RNA", at positions 29 to 507 of the family's 1533-position model. The record is from RNAcentral.